Molecule: long non-coding RNA, 284 nt
Filed under: Brassica napus (rape)
Lineage: Eukaryota; Viridiplantae; Streptophyta; Magnoliopsida; Brassicales; Brassicaceae
Description: long non-coding RNA (BNAP_LNC007980)
Source: RNAcentral
UUUUAAGAAGAACUUGUAUGUGCCUUUAAAAGGAUUAAUCUAGUCGUAUUUGUUGAAAAGAAAUAUUCAUGUGUUACUGUGUGUUCUAGUUAGUAUAGCUCGAUUAUCUUACAUUAACAAUCGUUCUUCUGAAUCACAUUUAAAAAACUUGAACCGUCUUUAGAUUUCUGACCUUUGUCAGGAGAGUCUCUCAUAUAGUGGCCAACUUUGCAACACCGAUAGCAUAAUACCUUUUUAAUGUUCUUCUUGCUGGUACCCUCCUGACACUUCUAUAAUUGCCUUCC